This is a non-coding RNA of Petromyzon marinus (sea lamprey), 720 nucleotides long. NCBI's taxonomy places the organism in Eukaryota, Metazoa, Chordata, Hyperoartia, Petromyzontiformes, Petromyzontidae. The record is from RefSeq and is a predicted model, not a curated record.
CCAGGAGGGACGAGGGGCCAGGAGCGGGAGGGGGGGUGCCGUGGCGCCGCUCUUGGGCUGCGAGGCCUCCCCCUGGGCCCGCGGCGCCACGCGGAGACCGCGACAGCAGCAGCAGGAGGUUUAAGAAUCUGCUGGUGUCUGUGCUGGAGGUGGACGUCUGGAUAUCUGUGCGGUCUGGAGCGGUGGACAAUAGACUUCUGCAGCUCAACCAGGACCCCCUGGAUGCGUUGAGGCAGCUCUGAUCGCGUAACUGUGAAUCUCUCAAGGCGGAGUUCUCCAGUGGAGAGUCUCGCGUCUUGUCCUGGACUCGCACCCAGGAGUCCUUCGCCCAGGAGCGCCUGGAUCUGCUCCACUGCCAGGACCACUGCGUGCAUCUCCACGGCAACCGCCGUAGCAAUCGCGGCAACCAACAUCACCACGAUGGUCACCGUAGAGACCGCCAUGAUUAUAGCAACUUCCAUCGCCAUAGCAGCAACCACCAUCACCACAGUAAUCACCGUAGUUACCACCAUCACUGUCAGCAACCAUAGCGUAGCAACCACAAUCAGUCUAGCAACAACCACCAUCACCACAGCCACCAAUAUGGCAACGACAACACAGCAAUCACCAUCAACAUAGUUGCAAUCACAGCAUAGAAACCACAUUCACUCUAGCAGCAAACCACCAUCACUACAGCAAUCAUCGUAGUAACCACCGUCACCAAAGCAACCACCAUAACUG